This is a long non-coding RNA of Heterocephalus glaber (naked mole-rat), 716 nucleotides long. The record is from Ensembl. Lineage: Eukaryota; Metazoa; Chordata; Mammalia; Rodentia; Bathyergidae.
CCCACUUCCUGUUGGCGGAAUCCGUAUUUGAGCGCCCAAAUUAACAGUGCUUCCUUACAAAUUCUCCGGGAUUAAUUUUCAACCUACAGGAGGCUCGGGUCGCUCCCUAACUCCCCAGAGGGUGUAGGAUCUGUGGUCCCGGUGCCGGCUUGACGAUCCCUGGGUUCCUAGAAGGACCUCGCUACGCAGCUCUCUCAGCUGCCCGCGGUAGAGGAGAGCUAGCAAGGAUAAUAAACCGGUUUUAUUUCCAAGUGGAGCUCCAUCCAGGGACCCAGAGGUCCUUGGGCGGGCACCGAAACCACCGGGUUAAGGUAAAUUGAGGCUCCCUGAGAUUAAGUGGUUAAGCAUUGUGAGCACGAAUUAAUUUUGUAUAUCUGAUAAACAACUGUCUGUAGCACUUUGCUCUACAAUUUAAAUGUACAUAAGAAUAGAAAGCAAUGUAUAAAGAAGGCCCUUGAAUUUUUUGAGGUUGUUUGCUUCCAAGAAAACAACCAAUCUGUGACCAAGAUGUAAUUAAAACCCACGAUUUCUAAUUCCCAGGCUUUGACUCCAACCUCUGAAAAUGCUUCAAUUCAAUGAAACUAAUGGCACUUUGGUCUCUGGAAUUAGAUCCUGUUAUCAAUGACUUCCACAUGGAAAGAUCAUUCCAAAAUGUGUAAUUAACCAAGAAAAUGCAAAUAAACCAAUUUGUACCUGCUAUUUAGAAGUAAGACACA